Molecule: long non-coding RNA, 715 nt
Filed under: Homo sapiens (human)
Lineage: Eukaryota; Metazoa; Chordata; Mammalia; Primates; Hominidae
Description: HSALNT0026021
Source: RNAcentral
UGGAGGAUUUGGGAUCCCGGGAGACAUGUGGUCAAGGGCAGUGUACCUCGUGGCCCCCAGGCCAAAGUGGUGCUAGGGUGGGUGUCCGGCCCGGAGCCCAGGGGCAGAGCACAGACCUCACUGACCCUCUGGCGAAACAGCUCUAUGCCCCGCAUGAGAAUGGAUCCUGUGACCCUCCGGACCCUCUGACUAAACAGCUUUGCACCCUGUGUGAGGGCAGAUACUGACAGGGUUGGACAAGCACCACCUUACAAGGUUCCCAAGGCCCCCUGGUGAGGAGCCACCUCUCCGGAUUUUGGCAGCGGGACCUGAGACUCUCCAAGGCAGACUUGCUCCUGGCUCUUCUGCAUGACAUCAAGCCUGUUUCUUCACUGUCUUCUUCAGGACCUGGUGAUGUCUCCAUUUCACAGCAGAAAGAAGUGCAGCUGGAUAGGUGGAAUGUUUCUCAGUGGGGCCACUUGCACUGCAUGUGAGAUGUCCUGAGAGGAGCCAGUGGCCCUGGAAAAGGAAGGUUUGCUUUCUAAGAGAAGCUCCAAUGAGGACGUCACUGCUUUAUGGCGCUAAGAGUCUCUAGAUCCUUAAUUUUGCCCAUGGUGUCAAACUUCGCAAGGCUUGGAGCCUGACGUGAGUGAUAUUCCUGCCAUUUCAGUGAGAAAGAGCAUUUUGGAGAGAAGAGUAGCAUCUCUACAUACCUCCGAUGAGAAGCAUAAUUGCC